AGAUAUGCGUUGAAGCGAGAGGUUGCCGCGUUUUCGCGGGUAAUUUUCGUGGAGUAUGUCCGAUUUUAAACCGGGCGGUAC
Ethanoligenens harbinense is the source of this 81-nucleotide non-coding RNA. NCBI's taxonomy places the organism in Bacteria, Bacillati, Bacillota, Clostridia, Eubacteriales, Oscillospiraceae. The record is from Rfam.